This 465-nucleotide ribosomal RNA is filed under the name uncultured bacterium. Its description in RNAcentral is "partial 16S ribosomal RNA". It matches the Rfam family "Bacterial small subunit ribosomal RNA", at positions 28 to 507 of the family's 1533-position model. The record is from RNAcentral.
GACGAACGCUGGCGGCGUGCUUAACACAUGCAAGUCGAACGGAAAGGCCCUGCUUGCAGGGUACUCGAGUGGCGAACGGGUGAGUAACACGUGGGUGAUCUGCCCUGCACUUCGGGAUAAGCCUGGGAAACUGGGUCUAAUACCGGCUAGGAGCCAUUUUUAGUGUGAUGGUUGGAAAGUUUUUUCGGUGUAGGAUGAGCUCGCGGCCUAUCAGCUUGUUGGUGGGGUAAUGGCCUACCAAGGCGGGGACGGGUAGCCGGCCUGAGAGGGUGGACGGCCACAUUGGGACUGAGAUACGGCCCAGACGCCUACGGGAGGCAGCAGUGGGGAAUAUUGCACAAUGGGCGCAAGCCUGAUGCAGCGACGCCGCGUGGGGGAUGACGGCCUUCGGGUUGUAAACUCCUUUCGCUAGGGACGAAGCUUUUUGUGACGGUACCUAGAUAAGAAGCACCGGCUAACUACGUG